RNAcentral lists this long non-coding RNA (276 nucleotides) under Gallus gallus (chicken). The record is from RNAcentral. Lineage: Eukaryota; Metazoa; Chordata; Aves; Galliformes; Phasianidae.
CCUCAGAAAACUUAUGGGAGUAGACCUCCUCAGUCUCCAGAACUCUUCUGUCCACUUCUUCUCUCUUCACCUUCUCUUUCCUUCCACGAAAUGGUGAUUGCCCAGCAAUCAUUUCAUAAAUGAGACAGCCCAGUCCCCAGUAGUCAGGGCUGAGUGUGUAUCUCUGGUUGUUCAACACUUCUGGGGCCAUAUACCCUACUGUUCCUACCCUUCCGCGGAUCGAUUCACCCUCAGGGAUUUUAACAGCUAGACCCAAAUCUGAUAUUCUAAUAUGGC